Molecule: RNA transcript, 963 nt
Organism: Mandrillus leucophaeus (drill)
Lineage: Eukaryota; Metazoa; Chordata; Mammalia; Primates; Cercopithecidae
Gene name: 39S ribosomal protein L18, mitochondrial pseudogene
Exons: 1
Source: RefSeq, a predicted model, not a curated record
UUGGGGAUCUACAGCAACCAAAGGCUUUUCCCUGACUUCAUAUGACUGCGGCAGGCGAGCGAGUGAGUCGUCCCUGAGGAAAAAGAGGCAAGGCUUUUCCGAGAUCGUCUCAGCGAUGGCGCUUCGGUCGCGGUUCUGGGGGUUCUCCGUUUGCAGGAACCCUGGGUGCAGGUUCGCAGCCCUCUCAACCAGCUCCAAGUCGGCGGCGAAACCUGAAGUGCACCGUGUGGAAAAUGAAGCUGUCGCCCCAGAGUUCACCAAUCGGAACCCCCGGAACCUGGAGCUUCUAUCUGUAGCCAGGAAAGAGCGGGGCUGGCGGACGGUGUGGCCCUCCCGUGAGUUCUGGCACAGGUUGUGAGUUAUAAGGACUCAGCGUCAUGUAGAAGCACUUGUGGAGCAUCAAAAUGGCAAAGUUGUGGUUUCGGCAUCCACUCGUGAAUGGGCUAUUAAAAAGCACCUUUAUAGUACCAGAAAUGUGGUGGCUUGUGAGAGUAUAGGACGAGUACUGGCACAGAGAUGCUUAGAGGCGGGAAUCAACUUCAUGGUCUACCAACCAACCCCAUGGGAGGCAGCCUUAGACUCCAUGAAACGACUACAAAGUGCCAUGACAGAAGGUGGUGUGGUUCUACGGGAACCUCAGAGAAUCUAUGAAUAAAUGAAUAAAUGGAAGCAUUAAUUGUUUUGAACAUGUAAAUAUAAAACUGUCAGCCACUACAGCCAUCAAAAGAGAGCAUCUGGAAGAACAGCCAGCUUGGAAGUUUUACAGCAAUAAUGUUGCAGUGGAAUAUUAUUUGUAGUUAAGGUCAUCCUCCUUCCCUUUCUGUUUUUUUAAAUCAAGAACUACAUUCUGCCCCUGUCUUGGGCUUCAGAAGCAUCUAAGAAAAGCAGUCGUCAAUUAUAAUUAACUUUCAAAGGGCAAGUCAGAAGUUGUCUAUAAAUUACAAAAUAAAGGCAUGUUAUGAA